CGGCACGUCUUACACANGCACCNCGAACGCAGUAGCAAUACUGAGUGGCGAUNGGGUGAGUAUAAUGUGNGUAUCUGCCUUUUGGUGAGGAAUAACACGAGGAAACUUGUGCUAAUACUUCAUAAGCCUUUACAGGGAAAGUUUUAUACGCCAAAAGAUGAGCCCAUACUUGAUUAGCUAGUUGGUAAGGUAAUAGCUUACCAUNNCUUCGAUCAAUAGNUGAUCUGAGAGGAUGAUCAGCCACAUUGGGACUGAGACACGGCCCAAACUCCUACGGGAGGCAGCAGUGGGGAAUCUUGCACAAUGGGGGAAACCCUGAUGCAGCGAUGCCGCGUGAGUGAAGAAGGCCUUUGGGUUGUAAAGCUCUUUCGUCGGGGAAGAAAAUGACUGUACCCGAAUAAGAAGGUCCGGCUAACUUCGUGCCAGCAGCCGCGGUAAUACGAAGGGACCUAGCGUAGUUCGGAAUUACUGGGCUUAAAGAGCUCGUAGGUGGUUAGAAAAGUUGGUGGUGAAAUCCCAAGGCUUAACCUUGGAACUGCC
Molecule: ribosomal RNA, 540 nt
Filed under: uncultured alpha proteobacterium NAC60-13
Lineage: Bacteria; Pseudomonadati; Pseudomonadota; Alphaproteobacteria; Candidatus Pelagibacterales
Description: bacterial SSU rRNA
Rfam family: Bacterial small subunit ribosomal RNA
Source: RNAcentral